Molecule: ribosomal RNA, 494 nt
Filed under: uncultured bacterium
Lineage: Bacteria
Description: partial 16S ribosomal RNA
Rfam family: Bacterial small subunit ribosomal RNA
Source: RNAcentral
AUUGAACGCUGGCGGCAUGCUUUACACAUGCAAGUCGAACGGUAGAGGGGCAACCCUUGAGAGUGGCGAACGGGUGAGUAAUGCAUCGGAACGCGCCCGGUAGUGGGGGAUAGCCCGGCGAAAGCCGGAUUAAUACCGCAUGAGACCUGAGGGUGAAAGCGGGGGAUCGCAAGACCUCGCGCUAUUGGAGCGGCCGAUGUCAGAUUAGCUAGUUGGUGGGGUAAAGGCCUACCAAGGCGACGAUCUGUAGCUGGUCUGAGAGGACGACCAGCCACACUGGGACUGAGACACGGCCCAGACUCCUACGGGAGGCAGCAGUGGGGAAUUUUGGACAAUGGGCGCAAGCCUGAUCCAGCCAUGCCGCGUGCGGGAAGAAGGCCUUCGGGUUGUAAACCGCUUUUGUCAGGGAAGAAAUCUUCUGGGCUAAUACCCUGGGAGGAUGACGGUACCUGAAGAAUAAGCACCGGCUAACUACGUGCCAGCAGCCGCCGUAA